This 460-nucleotide ribosomal RNA is filed under the name uncultured bacterium. Its description in RNAcentral is "partial 16S ribosomal RNA". It matches the Rfam family "Bacterial small subunit ribosomal RNA", at positions 338 to 795 of the family's 1533-position model. The record is from RNAcentral.
CCUACGGGAGGCAGCAGUGAGGAAUAUUGGUCAAUGGCCGGAAGGCUGAACCAGCCAAGCCGCGUGAGGGAGGAAGGCGCAGAGCGUCGCAGACCUCUUUUGCCGGGGGACAAAAGGCCGGACUCGUCCGGUCCUGAGGGUACCCGGAGAAAAAGCAUCGGCUAACUCCGUGCCAGCAGCCGCGGUAAUACGGAGGAUGCGAGCGUUAUCCGGAUUUAUUGGGUUUAAAGGGAGCGUAGAUGGGUUGUUAAGUCAGUUGUGAAAGUUUGCGGCUCAACCGUAAAAUUGCAAUUGAUACUGGCAGUCUUGAGUACAGUUGAGGUAGGCGGAAUUCGUGGUGUAGCGGUGAAAUGCUUAGAUAUCACGAAGAACUCCGAUUGCGAAGGCAGCUUACUAAACUGCCACUGACAUUGAUGCUCGAAAGUGUGGGUAUCAAACAGGAUUAGAUACCCUAGUAGUC